This is a long non-coding RNA of Corapipo altera (White-ruffed manakin), 910 nucleotides long. RefSeq lists it as uncharacterized. The record is from RefSeq and is a predicted model, not a curated record. Lineage: Eukaryota; Metazoa; Chordata; Aves; Passeriformes; Pipridae. The transcript is spliced from 2 exons.
UUGUUGGUUUUCUUUUUUGUUGUUGUUUCCUCUCGAUAGCCCUUUGCUGGUUUGAAUUAUUUUGGGGGGGAUGUUGGGGGAGUGGGUCCAUUUUUCAAUGUAUGCUUUCUGGGUCUACUUUUUUUGAUUAUAUAUAUUUUAUUUUUUUUUUUUUUCCUCUCCCUCUCUCACUUUGCUGUAGAUUGCUACUUUUUUGCAUUCCUGCAGGAUAUGUUGCUAGGUCGACUUCAUCUAGUAAACUGAAAAUUAUUGCUUAAAAUCAAACCGCAGUCUGUCUUUUUAUAUUAAGGACUUUUUUUUCUUCUUCUUUUUUUUUUUUUUUUUUUUUUAAAAAAAAAAGAAAAGUUCUGUUAAUCUGUAACUAAACAGCGACUCGGUCUGGCUCCACGGCUCAGGCUAACGAGGGGAAUUCUUGCCUGCGGUGGCAGAGAGUGGGAAUUCCACUGUUAACGUGUGUUUCGAAGUGCACAUCGGGCGCCGGGAAGUGUUAAGAACUGCUUUUGGAGUGUCAGCUGGGGAGCUCUGCCCCAUCAUACAUCAUGCAUGAGGAGGGGAUGCAAAGCAGCUCCCCGCACCACACAGCGAGCGAGACAGGAACGAUGUCCGUAGUUCCAGGCUGUAGCUGAACCUCCACCACGAGGUAGUGGCUCACAGGCAGGAUAAAGUGGGAACCCUGUACGAAACCCGGUGAUUUCCAAACCCAUCUGGAGUCCCAAGCGCGUCGAUUUGUGUCCGUGUGAGUUCUGUGGAGUAAGUUCUGAGUGGCGUCAAAAUCGUGUCCGACCAGUGACUUGAGUUUGUGGCCUGUGACCCCCCCUGACUGGAGUAACCAGGAAUUCUGUGUUCUCAAUAUGGCUGUAGUGUUGGUAAAGAACUACUAAGCAGAAAAAUAAAGCAAUUACACAGCGGA